This 213-nucleotide ribosomal RNA is filed under the name Triticum aestivum (bread wheat). RNAcentral's name for it is "partial small subunit ribosomal RNA". The record is from RNAcentral. Lineage: Eukaryota; Viridiplantae; Streptophyta; Magnoliopsida; Poales; Poaceae.
AUGAUUCCCCUUCGUCUCAGGGGUGAAGGGGUGAGCGACUGCCUGCGGAGAAGAAUUCGUGCACAGUGGGGCGACUUGAUUUCCUGGCCAUUGGAGUUUCUAAUGCAGCUAGCAGAUUCCAAUUCGUUGAGGAAGUUGACGAGAGCACAACCCAAAUGGAUCUGGUGUACACACACCGGGCGGCUGCGGCCGAGGUCGCAGCACCGGCGGUAA